Molecule: ribosomal RNA, 200 nt
Filed under: uncultured bacterium
Lineage: Bacteria
Description: partial 16S ribosomal RNA
Rfam family: Bacterial small subunit ribosomal RNA
Source: RNAcentral
AACGAACGCUGGCGGCAUGCCUAACACAUGCAAGUCGAACGAGACCUUCGGGUCUAGUGGCGCACGGGUGCGUAACGCGUGGGAAUCUGCCCUCUGGUACGGAAUAACAGUUAGAAAUGACUGCUAAUACCGUAUAAUGACUUCGGUCCAAAGAUUUAUCACCUGAGGAUGAGCCCGCGUCGGAUUAGCUUGUUGGUGAG